AUGGUGGAGCCAGACAUCAUUCGAAUGUAUUCUUCAUCCCCACCACCACUGGCCAAUGGAGCAGAGGAUGAUGAUGAUGAUGAAUUUGGGGAAUUUGGUGGGUUUUCAGAAGUUAGCCCUUCUGGUGUAGGGUUUGUUGGUUUUGAUACACCAGAUUAUACUUGUCCCAAGGAAGAAUUUGUUCCUUCAAACCAUUUUUUGCCAAUUCAUGAUUUCUCAGAAAAUGUAGAUAGCCUUACAAGCUUUAAGUCCACUAAAAAUGGUAAUGAUAAGGACAUUGCUGUUGAACUUUCAACUCCUGUGAAAGGACAAUCUGAUGUUUUACUUUCUACCACCAGCAAAGAAAGAAUUUCAUCCAAAACUUUAGAUACUUCCAUUGAUGGCAUAGAAAGUCCAGGAAAUUUAAAUAAAGUAGUGGAGCAGAGACAAAAUGUUGGAACACCUGGAAGUUUCUCUCCAGGAGAUUUUAGAACUGAUAAGAUUAUUGUUCAUCAAAACAAGCAGUUAGAGAGCUGCAAUGGUGAAAAGCCUCCCUGUCUGGAGAUUCUAACAAAUGGGUUUGCAGUGUUGGAAACUGUAAAUCCUCAGGAAACAGAUGAUCUGGACAACGUAGCUGAUUCAAAGGGAUGGAAGCCUCUUAGCAUUCAUAGCACUGAGUAUAAUUUAGACUCUGUACCUAGCCCUGCUGAGGAAUUUGCAGAUUUUGCCACAUUUUCCAAAAAGGAAAGGAUACAACUAGAAGAAAUAGGACAUGCAGUUUUAAAUGAUAGAGAAGCACUAAAUAUUCAGGAAAACAAUAAAAUUAACAGAGUCAAUGAACUGAAUUCUGUAAAAGAAGUGUCUUUGGGUAGAAGCUUUGACAAUAAAGGACACACUGAUGGAAAGGAUCAGGUUUGUGUUUCAGAAAUCAGCGUAAUGACUAACAUAGGUUUCAGUGUUGAAAAAGAAGGCCUUCCAACACUGCAACAGUAUGAACUUUUAAAUUCAAGUGUUCAAUCAAAGGCUAGGAGUUUGAUAGACUCAGCUGAUGAUUCAGAAGCCAUUAAGAGUGAACAAUGUAAAACUGAAGAAAAACUUGAUUUAUUUACUUCUAAAUGUGCUGACCUAUGCAAGGAUUCUAUUAAAACUUCUGAUGCUGAUGAUGAAGUUGGUUCUUCCAAAGAAGAAAGUACAAAGUUUACUGAUUUCCAAAGUCCAAACAUUGACCCCACAAAAGAAAAUGUUUUGGAUGAUUCUGUAAGUGUAAAAAAUGGUGAUAGUAGUAAUGACUUUGUGACUUGCAAGGAUACCAAUGAGGAUGAUUUUGGUGCCUUUGGCACAGCCAGAGGCACAACUCCACCUUUUGUUGCUAGUACUCAAGAUUCAAUGAGUGAUGUCACUUUUGAAGAGUCCUCAGAGCACUUUCCACAUUUUAGUGAACCAGGUGAUGACUUUGGAGAAUUUGGGAAUAUGAAUGCUAUUUCCUGCCAAGAGGAAAUGAUAUAUAUCGAGUCAGACCUAAAACAGACUUCUGAUAGUUUAUCAGAGGGAUGUCAGUUGGCAAGAAAGUCUAGUGGAACAGGCACUGAACCUGUUUCAAAACUGAAAAAUGGGCAAGAAGUUGAGUUUGGAGAUUUUGAUUCUGUGCCAAAUAUUCAAGAUGACUGCAAUGCUUUUCAAGACUUUGAUGAUUUUGCAGACUUCAGUUCAGCUGGUCCUACCCAAGUUGUAGAUCGGCAUGCUUAUGAGGAUGAACAAAAAGAUAGUUGUUCUUGGGCUGCUUUUGGAGACCAGGAAGCUACUGAAUCUCAUCAUCGAAAGGAAGCCUGGCAGUCACAUAGGAGAGAUGAAAAUAUUGGUACUCCAGGAACCCCCAAAAUGCACAGUGUCCCUUUAACAACUUCCAAAGGAGCAGUUGCUAGUGGCUAUUUACAGGAAUCAGCCACUUCAGUUCAGACAGCUUUACUAAACCGACUGGAGCGAAUUUUCGAAGCAUGUUUUCCUUCCAUAUUUGUCCCUGAUGCUGAAGAGGAAGUUACUUCCCUAAAGCACUUGCUGGAAACAAGCACCUUGCCAAUAAAAACAAGAGAGGCCUUACCUGAAUAUGGGAACUGCUGGAUGUGCGGACUGAGCUACAGGAUACCCAUGAUGCACAUGGCUUGAGAUAUCAGUGGGCGGCUCCCAUAGCAACAAGCUUUUGUGCUCUUUGGAAUAGACACCAGAAACAUUCUCUUUACGGGCAAUAAGAAGCAGCCUGCUAGUGUCCAUGUAUGCAGCAGGAUUGGGUACCCACCAAGGAACCAUUGAAACCACUAUCUGCUACAGAAAAAAUUGCUUCCAUUGGUCAGGCAGCCACCAUAUCACCAGAGAUUAACCCAUGUACAUCUGAUCAAUUCCAGGAGUCUCUACCACCCAUCCAGUUUGACUGGAGUAGCAGUGGCCUUACUAACCCUUUAGAUGGUAUGGAUCCAGAGUUGUAUGAGUUAACAACUUCUAAGCUGGAAAUCUCCACCUCAAGCCUCAAAGUGACUGAUGCAUUUGCGAGACUUAUGUCCACAGUAGAGAAGACAAGCACAUCUACCAGGAAACCGAAAAGAGAAGAGCACUUGAGUGAAGAAGCUAUCAAGGUGAUCACUAGCCUUGCUGACUUAAUGUUCAUGCAUGCCAAGGUGUUGAUGUUCCCAGCCACGUUAACACCUUACACAAGCUCCCAAGAAAAAGCAGACUGAUAACAGAUGUGAAUUGGGCAGUUUCAAUUGCUUGUCCUGUCCUCCAUCCCUGCCCUACCAUCAAAAGCAUACCUGCUAUAAUU
Non-coding RNA from Microcebus murinus (gray mouse lemur), 2791 nucleotides. The record is from RefSeq and is a predicted model, not a curated record. NCBI's taxonomy places the organism in Eukaryota, Metazoa, Chordata, Mammalia, Primates, Cheirogaleidae.